UCUUUUAAAGUAAAUACAUUUAAUUUCGACUUAAAUAUUGAUUAAAUCUAAUCUAAAAGAA
RNAcentral lists this transfer RNA (61 nucleotides) under Acropyga smithii. RNAcentral's name for it is "tRNA-Arg". Lineage: Eukaryota; Metazoa; Arthropoda; Insecta; Hymenoptera; Formicidae. The record is from RNAcentral.